AUUGAACGCUGGCGGCAGGCUUAACACAUGCAAGUCGAACGGAACCUUCGGGUUUAGUGGCGAACGGGUGAGUAAUACCUAGGAAUCUGCCUAUUAGUGGGGGAUAACGGCUCGAAAGGGUCGCUAAUACCGCAUACGUCCUACGGGAGAAAGAGGGGGAUCUUCGGACCUCUUGCUAAUAGAUGAGCCUAGGCCGGAUUAGCUAGUUGGUAGGGUAAAGGCCUACCAAGGCGACGAUCCGUAGCUGGUCUGAGAGGACGACCAGCCACACUGGGACUGAGACACGGCCCAGACUCCUACGGGAGGCAGCAGUGGGGAAUUUUGGACAAUGGGCGCAAGCCUGAUCCAGCCAUGCCGCGUGCGGGAAGAAGGCCUUCGGGUUGUAAACCGCUUUUGUCAGGGAAGAAAUCUUCUGGGUUAAUACCUCGGGAGGAUGACGGUACCUGAAGAAUAAGCACCGGCUAACUACGUG
RNAcentral lists this ribosomal RNA (472 nucleotides) under uncultured bacterium. RNAcentral describes it as "bacterial SSU rRNA". It matches the Rfam family "Bacterial small subunit ribosomal RNA", at positions 30 to 507 of the family's 1533-position model. The record is from RNAcentral.